UACGUAGGUGGCAAGCGUUGUCCGGAUUUAUUGGGUUUAAAGGGUGCGUAGGCGGCCCUGUAAGUCAGUGCUGAAAUAUCCCAGCUUAACUGGGAGGGUGGCAUUGAUACUGCGGGGCUAGAGUACAGAUGAGGUAGGCGGAAUUGACGGUGUAGCGGUGAAAUGCUUAGAUAUCGUCAAGAACACCUAUAGCGAAGGCAGCUUACUAGGCUGUAACUGACGCUGAGGCACGAAAUUGUGGGGAUCAAACAGG
RNAcentral lists this ribosomal RNA (253 nucleotides) under uncultured bacterium. RNAcentral describes it as "partial 16S ribosomal RNA". It matches the Rfam family "Bacterial small subunit ribosomal RNA", at positions 524 to 776 of the family's 1533-position model. The record is from RNAcentral.